This 303-nucleotide ribosomal RNA is filed under the name uncultured bacterium. RNAcentral describes it as "bacterial SSU rRNA". It matches the Rfam family "Bacterial small subunit ribosomal RNA", at positions 1092 to 1397 of the family's 1533-position model. The record is from RNAcentral.
ACGAGCGCACCCUUAUCCUUAGUUGCCAGCAAUCAUGGUGGGAACUCUGGGAGACUGCCGGUGAUAAACCGGAGGAAGGUGGGGACGACGUCAAGUCAUCAUGGCCCUUAUGGGUAGGGCUACACACGUGCUACAAUGGCCGGUACAGAGGGCAGCGAACUCGCGAGAGCAAGCAAAUCCCACAAAGCCGGUCCUAGUCCGGAUUGGAGUCUGCAACUCGACUCCCUGAAGUCGGAAUCGCUAGUAAUCGCGAAUCAGAAUGUCGCGGUGAAUACGUUCCCGGGCCUUGUACACACCGCCCGU